GGAGGUGGGUCUUCCUGAAGAAGCACUUCCGGUCAGAACCGGAAACUUUGCUGCGGAACGGCCAGCGUGUGGGGCUGCUUCUUAGACCACCCAGGGCAGCUGCGGGCCGAUCUCCUUGUAUAUUGGAUUCUGGCUAUAUUAUAAUGAGUGACACUUUGACUUUAGAUGUUAUUGGUCGAAGAGUUGAAGUUAAUGGAGAACAUGCAACAGUGCGUUUUUCUGGCCUCGUCCCUCCUGUAGCAGGACUCUGGUUAGGAGUCGAAUGGGACAAUCCGGAGAGAGGAAAACAUGAUGGGAGCCAUGAGGGGACUGUGUAUUUUAAAUGCAGGCACCCAACAGGAGGAUCCUUUAUCCGUCCAAACAAGGUAAAUUUUGGAGUAAACUUUCUUACUGCAAUUAAGAAUCGCUAUGUGCUAGAAGAUGAACCAGAAGAAGAUGGAAAAGAACAGAUUGUUAAAAUUGGAAAUAAACCUGUAGAAACUAUUGGCUUUGACUCUAUUAAAAAACGGCAAAGUCAACUGAGCAAAUUGCAAGAAAUUUCUCUGAGGAACUGUGCAGUGAAUUGUGCUGGUGAAAAAGGAGCAAUUGCUGAAACAUGUCCUAAUAUUAGAAAGAUAGAUUUGUCAAAAAACCUGUUGUCAUCAUGGGAUGAAGUGAUACAUAUUGCUGAUCAGCUUAAACACCUUGAAGUUCUUAAUCUCAGUGAAAAUAAACUAAAAUUUCCCUCUGGUUCACCAUCUGUAAGUGGAACAUUUUCUACACUGAAGGUUUUAGUUCUUAACCGAACAGGAAUUACAUGGGCUGAGGUGCUCAGCUGUGCCCCUGGAUGGCCAGUCCUUGAAGAACUGUAUCUUGAGUCUAACAAUAUUUUCAUUACAGAAAGGCCAACUGAUGUUCUACAGAUGGUCAAGUUAUUAGACCUUUCCAGUAAUCAAUUAAUUGAUGAAAAUCAGCUGCUUCUAAUAGCCUAUCUACCCAGAUUAGAACAACUAAUCCUUUCUGAUAUUGGAAUUUCUUCUAUACAUUUCCCGGAUGCUGGAAUUGGGUGCAAAACAUCAAUGUUUCCUUCCUUGCAAUACCUUGUAGUAAAUGACAAUCAGAUAUCACAAUGGUCAUUUAUCAAUGAACUAGAUAAGUUACAGAGCCUGCACUCUUUGUCCUGCAUAAGAAACCCCCUGACAGAAGGGAACAAAGAAGCCCAGACUAAACGUCAAUUUAUUAUUGCCAAAAUUGGUCAGCUGAAGACACUGAAUAAAUGUGAGAUUUUACCAGAGGAAAGACGUGGAGCUGAGUUUGACUACCAAAGAGCUUUUGGAAACGAAUGGAGAAAGGCUGGAGGACAUCAGAAUCCUGACAAAAACAGACCAAAUGAAGAAUUUCUUGCAGCCCAUCCUAGAUACCAAUUACUCUGCCUUAAAUAUGGUGCACCUGAAGAUGGGGAACUCAAAACACAACAACCAUCUGUGCUCAGAAAUCAGCUACUAACACUGAAGAUAAAAUACCCCCACCAAGCUGAUAAAAAAGUCAUAGAGAAACAACUGCCAGACUCCAUGACAAUUCAAAAGGUGAAAGGAUUGCUGUCACGUCUUCUAAAAGUUCCUGUGUCAGAACUUCUGUUGUCCUAUGAAAGUACCAAAAUGCCAGGAAGAGAAAUUGAACUAGGAAAUGACCAACAGUCAUUACAGUUCUAUUCUGUGGAAAAUGGAGAUUGUCUAUUGGUGCGAUGGUAACAGCCAACUGUUACAGAGAUGAGAUUGUUUAUUGUGACUGAAGUUCCCCGGAGAUUAAGAAUUUACUGGAGCAGUUCUGUCAAAAGGUUUAGUUUCAGGUUUUAAUUGUGCUAUGAAGGAAAAUACGAAAACAGAGAAAUAAUUUAAGAGAAACACACAACAGUCUUCGUUUAAAUUUGUGAUGCCCCACUAAGAUAUAUGCUUCAGCAAGUCACACAAUGAAAACACUGAAAGAGAUGUGCUUACUUGAAAAGCUAUACUGCUGACAUGCUACUCUUAUAGACUAUUAAGUGUGGAGGGAAUAAGAUGAUGAACAAAAAUCAUGUACUUCUCCCUCUCAACUGGAAUAAAUGGUUUUUCUUCUAUUAUUCUUUGCUGAUGAUAUCCAGGCAAAUUAUUCAUCACUAUUUUCUUCCCUAAACCAAUAAGCCCAGUUAGGCUAGAUGCAGAAAAUAGAAUAUCUAUGUAAAACUAAACACAAUUUCAACAAAAACAGGAUU
RNA transcript from Choloepus didactylus (southern two-toed sloth), 2230 nucleotides. It is a transcript of the gene named tubulin folding cofactor E, with no coding region annotated. The transcript has 18 exons. The record is from RefSeq and is a predicted model, not a curated record. NCBI's taxonomy places the organism in Eukaryota, Metazoa, Chordata, Mammalia, Pilosa, Megalonychidae.